This 676-nucleotide ribosomal RNA is filed under the name Alteromonadaceae bacterium. RNAcentral's name for it is "bacterial SSU rRNA". It matches the Rfam family "Bacterial small subunit ribosomal RNA", at positions 337 to 1006 of the family's 1533-position model. The record is from RNAcentral. Lineage: Bacteria; Pseudomonadati; Pseudomonadota; Gammaproteobacteria; Alteromonadales; Alteromonadaceae.
UCCUACCGGAGGCAGCAGUGGGGAAUAUUGCACAAUGGGGGAAACCCUGAUGCAGCCAUGCCGCGUGUGUGAAGAAGGCCUUAGGGUUGUAAAGCACUUUCAGUUGUGAGGAAGGUAGCGUAGUUAAUACCUGCGUUAUUUGACGUUAGCAACAGAAGAAGCACCGGCUAACUCCGUGCCAGCAGCCGCGGUAAUACGGAGGGUGCGAGCGUUAAUCGGAAUUACUGGGCGUAAAGCGUACGCAGGCGGCUAAGUCAGUCAGAUGUGAAAGCCCGGGGCUUAACCUCGGAACGGCAUUUGAUACUGCUUAGCUAGAGUUUUGUAGAGGGUGGUAGAAUUUCAGGUGUAGCGGUGAAAUGCGUAGAGAUCUGAAGGAAUACCAGUGGCGAAGGCGGCCACCUGGACAAGAACUGACGCUCAUGUACGAAAGCGUGGGGAGCAAACAGGAUUAGAUACCCUGGUAGUCCACGCCGUAAACGAUGUCUACUAGUUGUCUGAGAGUUUAACUUUUGGGUAACGCAGCUAACGCAUUAAGUAGACCGCCUGGGGAGUACGGCCGCAAGGUUAAAACUCAAAUGAAUUGACGGGGGCCCGCACAAGCGGUGGAGCAUGUGGUUUUAUUCGAUGCAACGCGAAGAACCUUACCUACCCUUGACAUACAGUGAACUACCAGAGA